UGGGGAAUUUUCCGCAAUGGGCGAAAGCCUGACGGAGCGACGCCGCGUGGGGGAUGAAGGCCUGUGGGUUGUAAACCCCUUUUCUCAGGGACGAAUUCUGACGGUACCUGAGGAAUAAGCCUCGGCUAACUCUGUGCCAGCAGCCGCGGUAAGACAGAGGAGGCAAGCGUUAUCCGGAAUUACUGGGCGUAAAGCGUCCGUAGGCGGCUUGACAAGUCUGGGGUUAAAGCCCGGAGCCCAACUCCGGAACCGCCCUGGAAACUGUCAGGCUAGAGUGAGGUAGGGGUCACGGGAAUUCCCGGUGUAGCGGUGAAAUGCGUAGAUAUCGGGAAGAACACCAGUGGCGAAGGCGCGUGACUGGGCCAUCACUGACGCUGAGGGACGAAAGCUAGGGGAGCGAAUGGGAUUAGAUACCCCAGUAGUC
Molecule: ribosomal RNA, 424 nt
Filed under: uncultured cyanobacterium
Lineage: Bacteria; Bacillati; Cyanobacteriota
Description: bacterial SSU rRNA
Rfam family: Bacterial small subunit ribosomal RNA
Source: RNAcentral